This 450-nucleotide ribosomal RNA is filed under the name Triticum aestivum (bread wheat). RNAcentral describes it as "partial small subunit ribosomal RNA". Lineage: Eukaryota; Viridiplantae; Streptophyta; Magnoliopsida; Poales; Poaceae. The record is from RNAcentral.
AUGGUAGCUGCAGCAAGCAGGCACGGAGGCGUUGCGCGGGGGCGCAACUGGCGCGGUGGCAGAGACAGAGCAAAGGAACCAACGAUGCAGCAGAGGGAAGGCGGGAUCAGAGGACUGGCCGAGCCAGCGGCUGGGAGCUUCAUGGCGUCGCCAUGGCAGGGAGGCGAUGGUGCUGGUAGCGGGGAGGUCCAGCGACACACGGGAAGAGCAGCUGCAGCAGGGCGCGGUUGCGGCGAUGAGUCAGGAGCAGAGCAGCAAGGCAAGGGUAGCGGCGCACAUGGAGGCAAGCGGUGGCGGAGCAGCGAGUUGAAGAAGAUGGCGAGGAGGUGGACGCCGACAGCAACUGGUCUGUGGCAGGAGGCCAUGGCGAGCAGGCGACGGCCAUGGACGGCGGAUCAGCGGCAGAGCAGCACGGUGGCCAGCUCACGGCAGGCUGCUGCAGCCACGUAA